Molecule: ribosomal RNA, 820 nt
Filed under: Staphylococcus pseudintermedius
Lineage: Bacteria; Bacillati; Bacillota; Bacilli; Caryophanales; Staphylococcaceae
Description: partial 23S ribosomal RNA
Rfam family: Bacterial large subunit ribosomal RNA
Source: RNAcentral
CUUUUGUAGAAUGAACCGGCGAGUUACGAUCUGAUGCAAGGUUAAGCAGAAAAUGUGGAGCCGUAGCGAAAGCGAGUCUGAAUAGGGCGAAUGAGUAUUUGGUCGUAGACCCGAAACCAGGUGAUCUACCCUUGGUCAGGUUGAAGUUCAGGUAACACUGAAUGGAGGACCGAACCGACUUACGUUGAAAAGUGAGCGGAUGAACUGAGGGUAGCGGAGAAAUUCCAAUCGAACUUGGAGAUAGCUGGUUCUCUCCGAAAUAGCUUUAGGGCUAGCCUCAAGUGAUGAUUAUUGGAGGUAGAGCACUGUUUGGACGAGGGGCCCCUCUCGGGUUACCGAAUUCAGACAAACUCCGAAUGCCAAAUAAUUUAACUUGGGAGUCAGAAUGUGGGUGAUAAGGUCCAUAUUCGAAAGGGAAACAGCCCAGACCACCAGCUAAGGUCCCAAAAUAUAUGUUAAGUGGAAAAGGAUGUGGCGUUGCCCAGACAACUAGGAUGUUGGCUUAGAAGCAGCCAUCAUUUAAAGAGUGCGUAAUAGCUCACUAGUCGAGUGACACUGCGCCGAAAAUGUACCGGGGCUAAACAUAUUACCGAAGCUGUGGAUUGUCCUUUGGACAAUGGUAGGAGAGCGUUCUAAGGGCGUUGAAGCAUGAUCGCAAGGACAUGUGGAGCGCUUAGAAGUGAGAAUGCCGGUGUGAGUAGCGAAAGACGGGUGAGAAUCCCGUCCACCGAUUGACUAAGGUUUCCAGAGGAAGGCUCGUCCGCUCUGGGUUAGUCGGGUCCUAAGCUGAGGCCGACAGGCGUAGGCGAUGGAUAACAGG